GCAGCCUUAGCUCAAUUGGAUAGAGCAUCGGCCUACGAAGCCGAGGGUUGCAGGUUCGACUCCUGCAGGCUGCA
This 74-nucleotide transfer RNA is filed under the name Humisphaera borealis. RNAcentral's name for it is "tRNA-Arg". It matches the Rfam family "tRNA". From Rfam's summary of the family: Transfer RNA (tRNA) molecules are approximately 80 nucleotides in length. Lineage: Bacteria; Pseudomonadati; Planctomycetota; Phycisphaerae; Tepidisphaerales; Tepidisphaeraceae. The record is from RNAcentral.